ACGGGUACUCGAGUGGCGAACGGGUGAGUAACACGUGGGUGAUCUGCCCUUCACUUCGGGAUAAGCCUGGGAAACUGGGUCUAAUACUGGAUAGGACCAUCGUUUAGUGUCGGUGGUGGAAAGUUUUUUCGGUGGAGGAUGAGCUCGCGGCCUAUCAGCUUGUUGGUGGGGUAAUGGCCUACCAAGGCGACGACGGGUAGCCGGCCUGAGAGGGUGGACGGCCACAUUGGGACUGAGACACGGCCCAG
This 248-nucleotide ribosomal RNA is filed under the name uncultured Actinomycetales bacterium. Its description in RNAcentral is "partial 16S ribosomal RNA". It matches the Rfam family "Bacterial small subunit ribosomal RNA", at positions 83 to 334 of the family's 1533-position model. Lineage: Bacteria; Bacillati; Actinomycetota; Actinomycetes; Actinomycetales. The record is from RNAcentral.